RNAcentral lists this ribosomal RNA (398 nucleotides) under uncultured Methanomicrobiales archaeon. Its description in RNAcentral is "bacterial SSU rRNA". It matches the Rfam family "Archaeal small subunit ribosomal RNA", at positions 941 to 1338 of the family's 1478-position model. Lineage: Archaea; Methanobacteriati; Methanobacteriota; Methanomicrobia; Methanomicrobiales. The record is from RNAcentral.
AGCUGAAUGAUAGUCGGGCGUGAAGACUCUACUUGACUAGCUGAGAGGAGGUGCAUGGCCGUCGUCAGUUCGUACUGUGAAGCAUCCUGUUAAGUCAGGCACGAGCGAGACCCACGCCAACAGUUGCCAGCUCGUCCUCCGGGAUGGUGGGGACACUGUUGGGACCGCCUCUGCUAAAGAGGAGGAAGGAAUGGGCAACGGUAGGUCAGCAUGCCCCGAAUUAUCUGGGCUACACGCGGGCUACAAUGGGUGGGACAAUGGGUAUCGACACCGAAAGGUGAAGGCAAUCUCCUAAACCCAUCCGUAGUUCGGAUUGUGGGCUGCAACUCGCCCACAUGAAGCUGGAAUCUGUAGUAAUCGUGUCUCAAAAUGGCACGGUGAAUAUGUCCCUGCUCCUU